Molecule: ribosomal RNA, 483 nt
Filed under: uncultured bacterium
Lineage: Bacteria
Description: partial 16S ribosomal RNA
Rfam family: Bacterial small subunit ribosomal RNA
Source: RNAcentral
AUUGAACGCUGGCGGCAGGCCUAACACAUGCAAGUCGAGCGGAUGAAGGGAGCUUGCUCCUGGAUUCAGCGGCGGACGGGUGAGUAAUGCCUAGGAAUCUGCCUGGUAGUGGGGGAUAACGUCCGGAAACGGGCGCUAAUACCGCAUACGUCCUGAGGGAGAAAGUGGGGGAUCUUCGGACCUCACGCUAUCAGAUGAGCCUAGGUCGGAUUAGCUAGUUGGUGGGGUAAAGGCCUACCAAGGCGACGAUCCGUAACUGGUCUGAGAGGAUGAUCAGUCAAACUGAAACUGGGACACGGUCCAGACUCCUACGGGAGGCAGAAGGGGGGAAAAUUGGACAAUGGGCGAAGGCCUGAUCCAGCCAGGCGGCGUGUGUGAAGAAGGUCUUCGGAUUGUAAAGCACUUUAAGUUGGGAGAAAGGGCAGUAAGUUAAUCCCUUGCUGUUUUGACGUUCCAACAGAAUAAGCACCGGCUAACUUCGUG